This 376-nucleotide ribosomal RNA is filed under the name uncultured bacterium. Its description in RNAcentral is "bacterial SSU rRNA". It matches the Rfam family "Bacterial small subunit ribosomal RNA", at positions 524 to 898 of the family's 1533-position model. The record is from RNAcentral.
UACGUAGGUGGCAAGCGUUGUCCGGAUUUACUGGGCGUAAAGGGAGUGUAGGCGGAUACUUAAGUCAGAUGUGAAAUACCCGGGCUCAACUUGGGUGCUGCAUUUGAAACUGGGUGUCUAGAGUGCAGGAGAGGAAAGUGGAAUUCCUAGUGUAGCGGUGAAAUGCGUAGAGAUUAGGAAGAACACCAGUGGCGAAGGCGACUUUCUGGACUGUAACUGACGCUGAGGCUCGAAAGCGUGGGGAGCAAACAGGAUUAGAUACCCUGGUAGUCCACGCCGUAAACGAUGGGUACUAGGUGUGGGAGGUAUCGACUCCUUCCGUGCCGCCGUAAACACAAUAAGUACCCCGCCUGGGGAGUACGGUCGCAAGAUUAAA